This 3178-nucleotide long non-coding RNA is filed under the name Sparus aurata (gilthead seabream). RNAcentral's name for it is "lncRNA (ENSSAUG00010026220.1)". The record is from RNAcentral. Lineage: Eukaryota; Metazoa; Chordata; Actinopteri; Spariformes; Sparidae.
GCAGCAGAUGAAGGAGCUGUGAACACUGAGACCUGAAUGAGGUGGAGAAUGACAUUCAUUUGACUUUAUACUGUCUUUAUAUCAGGAUUCAUGACAAGUACUGUUUAAGAAGUUAAUGUUGUGGAUGUAGAUGUGAGAGGUAUUGAGGAUGGAGCUCUAAGUGAAAAGCUCUUUGAUAAUGUUUUAAAUAGUGUGAAUGUGUCUCCAAAGCAGAGGACAGGAGGAGGACAGUCACAUACAACACAUACGUUCCUCUCUUCUGGACUGAACACGUUUGAUUUGUCAACUGGAUUAAAUAUUCAGGCUUUGACACUAAUGGAUGCAGAUGUAGUUUUAGUGUAGUUUUAUUUAUUGACCUGUUGAUUGAUUUGUGUUUACUUGCUUCAUCUUGAUGUGAUUUGGUAUGACGUCUUGUGUUUCGGGGGCUGUGUUUGUGUAUCUGUUCUUUUCUUUUCCCCUGGAAUGAUGUUGUUUGUGGAGGUCUGGUGAGUUGGAUGAUGUCUCUGUUGGGAUGUUGAUGUCUUGUGCUACUACAUGAUGUUGGGUCAACAUGCUGAAAAGUUUGAUUUGUUGUAAGUUAGUUUGUCAUGAGGGACGAGUCGUGUAAAUGACCAGACACCAAAAUAAAAUAUGUAUUCAUUCAGCUGGUUAGUCCACAACUGUGACUGUACAGAGUUUAUAUAUGAUGCUCUGUUUCUCUCCACACACCACAAUGUAUUUCUUCCUCAGUUACAUAGAGUAGAUCUACUUUACUGUAUUAUUCUCAUCAGCAGGUAUCUGGAGACUUUUAGCAGAUAAACUCCACAUCAGUAAUGCAUGACUGUGUUUCUGUUGUUGACAUCAUGUCAUAACUAAAUGUUACAUUCUUGUUCCAGUGUCUCUCAUUGGUCUAAAAGUGAAGUCCAGUUCUUUGGGAAUCUGUUGUGUGCAGCAGCAGAGAGAGAACAGCAGACAGGAGAGAAGAUACUGGAGCUGUUAUCAUCAGUGUGCACAUAUGAAACAUUCCCUUUUGAUAUAAUAGAUGAUAAAGAUGAUCAGUGUGGUUCGCUGUUGGACCUGUACGCUCACCUGAAGGACUAUGACAGUGAAACUGGCCUGAGAGUCCUUCCAUCAUUACAGUCAGUUUUCCAGUCAGCUCCUGCAGUCUGGUCCAUAAACCUCUCAGAGAGAAAGAGCUCCAUCCUCCUGGAAGUGCUGAAACUCACAUCAGAGAAGAAACAAGUGAAGCUGACAGGCUGCUCACAUGAAGAGAGUGAAGUGAGGAGUUUCCUACAGUGUCUGCCUCAUAUCUCACAGCUCAGUGGUGAUCCAGAGUUCUUCCAGCGUGUGUGCACAUUAAUCUGUGUGAGAUCCAGAGAGGAGGCCGAGCAGUUGGCCUCUCUGCUGCAGCUCCUGGGCUUCACCCUGCAGUUCACAGGAGAGUUGGGCUGGAAAACCUGCAGGUCUGUGGGAAGAGUUCUCAGACUCUGUGGUUCUGAUGUAGAUCUGGUCCUCACACCCAGAAGGAUCUCUGUCAGAGGAGCCUCCCUCCUCUUUAGACAUACAACACAACUACACAGUCUGAGGCUUUCCAAUGGUACAGCCUUGUUUCUGUCUCAGUGGGUAAGAAGAAAGAGAGUGGCCUGUCUGUUGGCUGUUGAGGAGCUUUCUCUUGCCCCUCAGAGAGGUCUACCAUCAGAAAGAGUUCUGUUGAAGGUGGUCAGUAGUUUGGCAUCCCUGCUGAGAUACUGGACAGUCAGCCGGUUGGACCUGACUGAGUUCUGUGGUUCUGCUCAGAGUCUGGUUCCACUCCUGCUUCAUGAUGGUCCUCUGACAAUCAAGUAAAAGUUGUUCCUGAGCUUCAUAAACAAUCUUAUGAAUGAAAAUACAAAAUGUAUGAAUCAUUUACGUUUCUGAGAUAUACUCAUACAUUUCUAUCUGCAGACUGAGUGAGAAGCUUUCCCAGGAGCUCCUCUUCCUCCUCCAGGACGUCCAGGACCAGGACCUGACCUGCUCCUUCUUUAAUAAGGUUGGUGGAGACCUGAGCUCGUGUUCUCUGAACUGCGAGGUUCUUCACUAUCUGCUGCAGCAGCCGUCAGCUCAGACCAUCACUGUGAACCUGAGGAAGAACCGCUUCUUACAGGAGAACAUCAGAUGUCUGCUUCCCUUUCUGGAGAAGAUUGUAUUUAAAAGGUUCUUAGUUUGUUUUUUACCCUUUUACCAGAUACAGACAUCAGUUUAUCUUAUUUAACCAUCAGUUUGUUAAUUCUUUGCCUAAUCAAAGUGUUCUGGUGAUCACACUUUAUAUUUUCAGGCCCUGUCCCAGCUUUGUGUUGACCGCCAUCACAGAGAUCUAUCACACUCGUGCCAGUCCCUUUAUACCCAGUUUACUGAGGUCACUGGAUCAUGUGAUCAACCUGACCUGCAGAGAGAUGAACUCAGUGGACUGUGCUGCUCUGCUCUUCACCCUCCAACACUCUGACAGAGUUAAACUGAAGCUCCUCUUGACCUCCAUACCAACAGAGGAGAUGGAGUUCUUCCUCUUUACACUGGACAGAGUUUCUCAACUAAGGUGAGACAUUAUUGUUUGUUCUUCAAUGUGUCUGUCUUCUUCAACACACAGGAUAUAAUGCACCUCUCACUAAGACAGUUUGGGAGAAAAUGUUAUUGUUUGACUUCAUUUUCUUCUCAGAAUAAGUUUGGUUUGUUUCUAAACCUUAUGUUGGUCUGACUGCUUGUGUUUCAUGACUAGAACACGUAUAAGAAACACCAUGUUCCCAGGUCUUAGCUAUAAAUGCAAUGGUCUCUUUGUAACUUUUACUGAUUGAAAUGAAAUGUGUUUGUUUCCAACUUGUCUGAUCAUCUGACUUCUUUCGUCUCUUGACUUAUAACGAGUAUAAGUGAGGCAGUGUGUUCACAGUUCUAAGCUGUUAAAGUGAUCAUCUGAUAGAGAUGAAAGACAAAACUACAAUGAUAAAAAACCACCUUGAACAACAACAACAACAACAAGAACAACAAGAACGUUGCCCGGAUUGGCGUCACCGGGGCCCCACCCUGGAGCCAGGACUGGGGUUGGGGCUCGCAGGCGAGCGCCUGAUGGCCGGGUCAUUGCCCACGGGACCCGGCCGGGCACAGUCCGAAGGAGCUACGUGGGCCCGCCCUCCAGUGGGCUCACCACCCGUAGGACGGUUCAGAAGGG